GGUUAAGUCAGGCAACGAGCAAGACCCGUGCCCACAGUUGCCAGCAUACCCUCCGGGGUGAUGGGCACACUGUGGGGACCGCCGCUGCUAAAGCGGAGGAAGGCGCGGGCUACGGUAGGUCAGUAUGCCCCGAAUCAUCCGGGCUACACGCGGGCUACAAUGGUUGGGACAAUGGGCACCUACACCGAGAGGUGAUGGUAAUCUUCUAAACCCAGCCUUAGUUCGGAUUGAGGGUUGCAACUCGCCCUCAUGAAGCCGGAAUCCGUAGUAAUCGCGUAUCAAUAUCACGCGGUGAAUACGUCCCUGCUCCUUGCACA
RNAcentral lists this ribosomal RNA (317 nucleotides) under uncultured archaeon. RNAcentral's name for it is "bacterial SSU rRNA". It matches the Rfam family "Archaeal small subunit ribosomal RNA", at positions 1027 to 1343 of the family's 1478-position model. The record is from RNAcentral.